CCUACGGGAGGCAGCAGUGGGGAAUUUUGGACAAUGGACGAAAGUCUGAUCCAGCAAUGCCGCGUGCAGGACGAAGGCCUUCGGGUUGUAAACUGCUUUUGUACGGAACGAAAAAGUCUUUUUUAAUAAAGAAGGCUUAUGACGGUACCGUAAGAAUAAGCACCGGCUAACUACGUGCCAGCAGCCGCGGUAAUACGUAGGGUGCAAGCGUUAAUCGGAAUUACUGGGCGUAAAGCGUCCGCAGGCGGUUCUAUAAGACAGAUGUGAAAUCCCUGGGCUCAACCUAGGAACUGCAUUUGUGACUGUAGAGCUAGAGUACGGCAGAGGGGGAUGGAAUUCCGCGUGUAGCAGUGAAAUGCGUAGAUAUGCGGAGGAACACCGAUGGCGAAGGCAAUCCCCUGGGCCUGUACUGACGCUCAUGGACGAAAGCGUGGGGAGCAAACAGGAUUAGAUACCCUGGUAGUCCACGCCCUAAACGAUGUCAACUGGUUNUUGGGUCUUCAGUGACUCAGUAACGAAGCUAACGCGUGAAGUUGACCGCCUGGGGAGGACGGCGCGAAGGUAGUAACGUUACAAUAGUUAGUUAGACGCGNGAGACGNGCGACGGACGACGACGAGGGAGGAGG
RNAcentral lists this ribosomal RNA (626 nucleotides) under uncultured bacterium. RNAcentral describes it as "bacterial SSU rRNA". The stretch from base 1 to 542 matches the Rfam family "Bacterial small subunit ribosomal RNA", at positions 338 to 873 of the family's 1533-position model. The record is from RNAcentral.